Molecule: unclassified non-coding RNA, 87 nt
Filed under: Pseudomonas poae
Lineage: Bacteria; Pseudomonadati; Pseudomonadota; Gammaproteobacteria; Pseudomonadales; Pseudomonadaceae
Source: RNAcentral
UGUGGGAGCUGGCUUGCCUGCGAUAGCUUCACAUUGCUAUACCUGAUGCACCGCAGUGUCUGCAUCGCAGGCAAGCCAGCUCCCACA